Molecule: small RNA, 905 nt
Filed under: Pan troglodytes (chimpanzee)
Lineage: Eukaryota; Metazoa; Chordata; Mammalia; Primates; Hominidae
Description: retained intron
Source: RNAcentral
ACAGAUGAGAAAACUGAAACAUUGAGAAGUCAAGUAACUUGCUCAAGAUUAUAUAGCUAGUGCAUAGAGGGGCAAAGAUUUGAACCAGACUGCCUGGUUCCACAUGCACUUUAACCUGCUUUAUUUAGGCUUUUGAAAGCAACCUAAAUAGCUAACAUUCGCUAAAUAAGUGCAGUAUACCUGGUCUGUGUGACAUUAAUUAAAAAGUGACAGGUAUUAAAAAGUGAACAUUCUGAACCCUUUUAGCAACAUGGCAAAUACUUCUGAUGUGAUGUAUGCAUAUAAAUAUGAUCAAAAGCAAAUAUCCCAAAAGGUUAAUGGCAGUUAUGUCAGGUUAGUAGCACAAUAGUUUCUUUUCUCAUUUUCUCACAUUUUUAGUAAUGUGUGUUGCCUAUAUUAAAAAACAAAUAUUAAAAAGUAGUAGCAUGUAUUAGAUCAGAGCAUGGGCUCAGACUGCCUGUGUCAUCUCUUAUUAGACGUAUGACCAGGGACAAGUUAUUGACCUUUUGUUUCUAAGUCUCUAAGUUUGUCCUGUAAAAUGAAGAUAAUUGUAGUAACUACCUAAUAACAUGAUUGUAAGGAUUAAAUUAUUUAGAACACUAUUUGUUACUUGGAAAAUAUGCAAUCAUAAGCUAUUUUGUUGUUAUUGUUAUUUUACUACCAAAGCUUAUUGUUUCAGAGCCCCUAGGUGACCAGGCAAAAUGGCAGUUCCCUCCAGCUGGUCCUCAGAUGGGCACAUCUAUUAGCCUCUGCUCUUGUAAGAAGUUAGCUGCAGAACCCACAUGUGAAUCCUUGUAGUGCUUUAUCAAAUUUCUACUAUGAAUUAAGAACUGAGUGCUAUGGGAGACACAAAGGAGAGUCAGGACUCUGGAGAAGAUCAAAUGGGAGCUUAGAUGUGGAAGCUC